CCUACGGGAGGCAGCAGUAAGGAAUCUUCCACAAUGGACGAAAGUCUGAUGGAGCAACGCCGCGUGCAGGAUGAAGGCUUUCGGGUCGUAAACUGCUUUUAUAUGGGAAGAUUAUGACGGUACCAUAUGAAUAAGGACCGGCUAACUACGUGCCAGCAGCCGCGGUAAUACGUAGGGUCCAAGCGAUAUCCGGAAUUACUGGGCGUAAAGCGUGUGUAGGUGGAUUAAUAAGUGUGAUGCGAAAUCCGGCGGCUCAACCGUUUGGACUGUGUCGCAUACUGUUAGUCUAGAGGACGGCAGAGGUAAGUGGAAUUACGGGUGUAGCAGUGAAAUGCGUAGAUAUCCGUAGGAACACCAAUGGCGAAGGCAGCUUACUGGGCCACACCUGACACUGAGACACGAAAGCGUGGGGAGCGAACAGGAUUAGAUACCCUGGUAGUCCACGCCGUAAACGAUGCAUACUAUUAGUAUAGGGUAGUACGACCCUCCGUGUNUGAGAAGACGUACGUACGACGUAAGUAAGUAGUCCGCCGUCGGGUAGGGGUACGGACGGACGGCGAACGAACGUUAAACCGUUAAACCUUAAACUUAAAGUAAGUUAAGUUACGGGUACCGGUUCGGUUAGGACGACGCCGACCGGACCGGACCGAACCGAACGGGGAAGGGGUUAAGGGUUAGG
Molecule: ribosomal RNA, 679 nt
Filed under: uncultured bacterium
Lineage: Bacteria
Description: bacterial SSU rRNA
Rfam family: Bacterial small subunit ribosomal RNA (bases 1-532)
Source: RNAcentral